ACUCGACUAGACGAGUAUAAACUACAUUAAGCCUAGUGCGUUAUAGCCGUAAAUAAGAAGUAAACGGCUAUAGGUUGUA
Molecule: ribozyme, 79 nt
Filed under: unclassified sequences
Also listed under: 1 other name
Description: pistol ribozyme
Rfam family: Pistol ribozyme
Source: RNAcentral